RNAcentral lists this ribosomal RNA (253 nucleotides) under uncultured bacterium. RNAcentral's name for it is "partial 16S ribosomal RNA". It matches the Rfam family "Bacterial small subunit ribosomal RNA", at positions 524 to 776 of the family's 1533-position model. The record is from RNAcentral.
UACGAAGGGGGCUAGCGUUGUUCGGAGUUACUGGGCGUAAAGGGCGCGUAGGCGGCGCACCAAGUCAGGCGUGAAAGCCCUGGGCUCAACCCGGGAAUUGCGCUUGAGACUGGUGUGCUUGAGUACGGGAGAGGAUAGUGGAAUUCCCGGUGUAGCGGUGAAAUGCGCAGAUAUCGGGAAGAACACCCGUGGCGAAGGCGGCACUCUGGGACGGUACUGACGCUGAGACGCGAAAGCGUGGGGAGCGAACAGG